This 467-nucleotide ribosomal RNA is filed under the name uncultured bacterium. RNAcentral describes it as "partial 16S ribosomal RNA". It matches the Rfam family "Bacterial small subunit ribosomal RNA", at positions 28 to 507 of the family's 1533-position model. The record is from RNAcentral.
GACGAACGCUGGCGGCGUGCUUAACACAUGCAAGUCGAACGGAAAGGCCUCUUUCGGGGGGUACUCGAGUGGCGAACGGGUGAGUAACACGUGAGUAACCUGCCCUUGACUUUGGGAUAACUUCCGGCAACUGGGGCUAAUACCGGAUAGGAACUCCUGCUGCAUGGUGGGGGUUGGAGAGUUUCGGCGGUUGGGGGUGGACUCGCGGCUUAUCAGCUUGUUGGUGGGGUAGUGGCUUACCAAGGCUUUGACGGGUAGACGGUCAGAGAGGGUGACCGGCGAUACUGGGACUGAGAUGAGGCCCAGGCUCCUACGGGAGGCAACAGUGGGGAAUAUUGAACAAUGGGUGGAAGCCUGAUGCAGCAACGCCGUGGGCGGGAUGACGGCCUUCGGGUUGUAAACCGCUUUCGCUCAUGACGAAGCUUUGUGUGACGGUAGUGGGUAAAGAAGCACCGGCUAACUACGUG